GGAUCCGAACCGGCGAACCCCGGGCCGCCAAGAAGUGGAACGUGCAAACUUGACUGCUGCGCCACCGGGCCGGCCCACCUUGGCUUAUUCUUGACAUCAGUAGGUUUGUCCUCUGUUUUUCUCUGUCCUGAGGUUGACAGUGAGCUGUCUUGGAGGAUAGGCCCAUGUUGUAUUCUCUCUCUUCACUGGCACCUGUCGGCCUCCUGGUCUCCUUCCACCUUUGAUGUUAACUGGCUAAUGCUGUGGUUCGUUUCCUGUUAUUUGCAACUUUGGAAUUAAACGCAUAAAUGAAGUCAAAGCAAAUGAAAGGCCAAGGAAAUGAAAGUGCCAAUGUUCCACAAAGCAGAAAAAGUACCUAAUUUGAUGAAGAAAUCAUGCUGAUUCACCGGAAGAAAAUGGUCUUCAGCGUAAUCAACUAAACAUUUGUGUGUAAGUGUUUUUAAAAUUAAGUUGCAUUAAAAAAUCAAAUUCCUUUAUAGACAAAGUCAUGUAAUGGUGUGAUCCACAAUUUAAAAUGUAUUCUAAGAAUUUCUGACUUACGUGCUGGUUAGAAAACACAAAAGUCACAACCAUUUAACAUUUUGGGAUAGAGUGAUUGGAGUUGGAAGUGGAAAGAGAAGUCAUUGGGACAUUUUAAGAACAAAGCAAUGCCAGGCCAUAGAUACUACUUUUUACUUUUUGAGAGUCUGCAUUUUUUGGUGAACUAUUUAUAUUUUUGCUUUAACCCAAUUAGAAUGUUGCAUAACUUUAACACAGUGUCAAAGGUUUGUUUUGUUUUGUUUCAAUAACUACUUUGUCAGCUGAUUAUUUAGUUCACCUCACAGUCUUCCAAAUUACUUUUGAAAUUAUAGCUUGUAAUUCUUGCAAUAUAUCUUUAUCACUUUGCUCCCCUUACACCCAUGACUUUUUCUACGAGAGUUACUAGAAAGCAAAAUACUAGAAUUCCCAGCCUCCCUUACCGCUAAGGAUUGCCUUCUGACACAUUCUGGUCAAUGAAGUGUAGGUGGAAGUGUUUGGAGAUGGCUUUCUUCAGAACUAAAAACAAGGCCAAGUUAUAUGAGGAUAGCCUGUGUAUUUUUCCCUCUACCUCACCCCUUUCCCUGAGUAGCAAAUGGACACAUUGCUGGGAGGUGCCAGAAAGGACAUUUAAACUCAUUGCUGAGGAAGGUAGCUAAUUUAAUUAGGUGAAGGGGAAUGGAGAUCUUCAAAGAAGGAUGGUACCAUGGCACAAAAGUAUAUUUAAUAAAGAAUGAUUGUAGGACUGGAUAUCUGACAUGUCUAUCUUGAAAUCGUCAAAAGCCUUCUCAGUGGAUGAGAGACUGGCUAUUCCAGCCCCAGUGGCAGAAUUAAGCCCACAAUUGGGUGAAUGGAAACAACAAAGAGAUAGCUUUUGACUCCAAGCUAGCUGAACUUUUUCACAAAUGGAACUUUCCACCAGUGCUUUGAGCGGCAAUGUAGGUAGUAAUUUCCCCGUCAAUGAAUGUGUUCCAGCAGAUGCUGACUGACACCCACCCAGGAACAGUAGAAGCAGAGCUCUGCAUUAAUGCAGUCAUGGUACUAUUUCAAUUUCAUUCAAACAUUUUUGCUCAAAUAUACCCUAAAAGAAUUUUGAACAACUGUGCACCCCCUCACACAUUUUAUUUUGCCUUUUAAAAAUUUAAUUUUAAAAUUUUCCCUUGAUUUCAAAUUGAUGUCUUAUAUUUAUAAAAUCAGAGGUUAAAUAGCUGUAAAGACUAUGAUUUCUAGUGCACUGUACAUUAUGCACAUACUUUAAAUCUAUUUUUAUUGCUUCAGAAUCUUGGCACAGCUCAUUUAGCUUAUUGAGUUAAUGGAAAGUGCCUACCCUAUAACCUAAUGGCAAACCCAGUCUUCACUGUUAAACCAAUCAGCCAAAUCAGACUAACUUUUAAAGAAUUGUGCAAAAUGUUAGCCUUCUCCCUGCUCACCAAACAGUGGUGGACCUAAAACUGACAUGAUUCUUGCCCUCAUGGAGCUUGGGCCCUAACCGAGAGACAGAUCUCAAUCAAAGAAUUUCACAAAUGAACAGCAAAUCACAAUUGGGAAGAGUGCAAUGAAAGAGAUGUUAGUGGAAUGUAUAAUAGGAGAUAGGUCAGUGGUCUGGGAGGGCUUCCCUGAGGAAGUGACGUUUAAGUCAACAGCUGAAUGAAGGGGAAUAGAAAUCUUCAAAGAAAAUCUGACUUCAUUUUUCAUUUUGAAUAAACAUGAAAUAUUAUCUUACUUCUAAUGCUUAAAGCAGUUUGUCACGUGGAUAAAAUAAGUCACCAUUCCUAUCCAUAUUUUUUCUUACCAAAGCUCUCUUUUUUUCUCUCUUGAGAGAGAAAAUUGUCCCAAGUCUAGUCUGGGAUAGAACUUUUAUGUCUGAUGUAAUUUGCAGUCUCAUCUGGGAGGUAAUCAACAACCCUGAUCAAAUGCUUGAGCAAUCUCUCUGUGGAAAGUUAUGGUUUCCCCACAGCUGGCUGACUGCUGACACUCUUUAACCAGCAGUUCCUUUAUUGUACUGCUUACAUCUCUACCAAGAGAGGAUCUUUGAAUUGGCUUGUUCAGGAGCCUCUUUGUGGAGUUUGAAAUAAAACCUUGGUUUGUGCUCCUAAGCAAUCUGAGAAGCUGGUGAAGGGGAGCAGAAUAUGUCAACCCCAAGUAUGCCUUUUUGGCAAAAGGAUUAUCUUGAGCUGGUUAUUUUUAAGAAACAGCAGACACAGGAGAAGCUCUGAAAACACAGUCGGUUACCCUUUUGUAAGAGAUAUUUACAUUUAUGAGGCAAAUCUUCAUUUCUAAGGAUGUACUCCCCCUUUGUACCAGGAAGAGGGAGAUGACUAAAUCUCUAGUAACUCUUACCAGUGAAGAAGGCAGGACUUAAAUCUGCGUAACAACCUUACCCUUGUUUACUGUGCUUUUCCUGGUCACCUCCCAUAACUGGCCUCCA
Equus caballus (horse) is the source of this 2944-nucleotide non-coding RNA. The record is from RefSeq and is a predicted model, not a curated record. Lineage: Eukaryota; Metazoa; Chordata; Mammalia; Perissodactyla; Equidae.